RNAcentral lists this ribosomal RNA (495 nucleotides) under uncultured bacterium. RNAcentral's name for it is "partial 16S ribosomal RNA". It matches the Rfam family "Bacterial small subunit ribosomal RNA", at positions 28 to 507 of the family's 1533-position model. The record is from RNAcentral.
GACGAACGCUGGCGGCGUGCCUAAUACAUGCAAGUAGAACGCUGAAGGAGGAGCUUGCUUCUCUGGAUGAGUUGCGAACGGGUGAGUAACGCGUAGGUAACCUGCCUGGUAGCGGGGGAUAACUAUUGGAAACGAUAGCUAAUACCGCAUAAUAUUGACUAUUGCAUGAUAGUCAGUGGAAAGGUGCAACUGCACCACUACCAGAUGGACCUGCGUUGUAUUAGCUAGUUGGUGGGGUAACGGCUCACCAAGGCGACGAUACAUAGCCGACCUGAGAGGGGGAUCGGCCACACUGGGACUGAGACACGGCCCAGACUCCUACGGGAGGCAGCAGUAGGGCAUCUUCGGCAAUGGACGGAAGUCUGACCGAGCAACGCCGCGUGAGUGAAGAAGGUUUUCGGAUCGUAAAGCUCUGUUGUUAGAGAAGAACGAGUGUGAGAGUGGAAAGCUCACACUGUGACGGUAUCUUACCAGAAAGGGACGGCUAACUACGUG